This 85-nucleotide transfer RNA is filed under the name Asterophora parasitica. Its description in RNAcentral is "tRNA-Val". The record is from RNAcentral. Lineage: Eukaryota; Fungi; Basidiomycota; Agaricomycetes; Agaricales; Lyophyllaceae.
GGGUCGAUGGCGUAGUUGGUUAUCGCAUCUGUCUCACACUUCUAGUGUACACAGGAGGUCCUCAGUUCGAGCCUGGGUCGACUCA